This 497-nucleotide ribosomal RNA is filed under the name uncultured bacterium. RNAcentral describes it as "partial 16S ribosomal RNA". It matches the Rfam family "Bacterial small subunit ribosomal RNA", at positions 28 to 507 of the family's 1533-position model. The record is from RNAcentral.
GAUGAACGCUGGCGGCGUGCCUAAUACAUGCAAGUCGAGCGAACGGACGAGAAGCUUGCUUCUCUGAUGUUAGCGGCGGACGGGUGAGUAACACGUGGAUAACCUACCUAUAAGACUGGGAUAACUUCGGGAAACCGGAGCUAAUACCGGAUAAUAUUUUGAACCGCAUGGUUCAAAAGUGAAAGACGGUCUUGCUGUCACUUAUAGAUGGAUCCGCGCUGCAUUAGCUAGUUGGUAAGGUAACGGCUUACCAAGGCAACGAUGCAUAGCCGACCUAAGAGGGUGAUCGGCCACACUGGAACGGAGACACGGUCCAGACUCCUACGGGAGGCAGCAGUAGGGAAUCUUCCGCAAUGGGCGAAAGCCUGACGGAGCAACGCCGCGUGAGUGAUGAAGGUCUUCGGAUCGUAAAACUCUGUUAUUAGGGAAGAACAUAUGUGUAAGUAACUGUGCACAUCUUGACGGUACCUAAUCAGAAAGCCACGGCUAACUACGUG